UGAACUACUCUCCCCCUUCCCUCUUUCCCCUGCGCAGUGCGCACUCUCUUCCCCACUGAACGGAGUAGCGUCCACAGCUUUGCACCAACGCUUUUGAAUGGAACGAAAAUAUUCCCGCAAGGCUGACUUCCCUGGGUAAUGCCACAUCAUAUUAUCCCUACGCACUGUGGCUUAUUCCAUUUUCUCUCUCGAGCUCUUCCCUCACUAUCACGGCAUAUUCCUCAGUUGAAAGGAAUAGAUCGUUGUGGGUUGGCGGUAAGCCAUAGAUCUCCAUCGGCGCACACCGGUGGUAAACAUAGUCAAGCUGUGCACCUGCACUCACUCCCAUUUUGUCUUUAGCUCUGAAAAAUCGACUGAACUCCUUUAUUGGGUAUUCUUCUCCGGACCUGUAGUCAGACAAGGAGGCAAGAAGUGUGAACUUUUUUGAAUCGCCAUCGAGCCACGAGUUCUCAGUUAACAAGAGGUUGCUCCUCCUACAAACAGUUGAAGUAUGAUGUGAAGUAUUGUAAAUGCCGAAAUAUAGUUCAUUGCUUAGAAGUUUAAAGCCUUAAUGUUUGUAUUGACAUUUAUUUAGUUGGAAUGUGAACAAGGUAAUCCACCAAUUCCUAAGUAGUCAAACCGAAGUCAGAUAUAAGCAAGAAUAGAUGGUCGUCGCAACUUUUUUUAUUGGGCAAAUCUCACUGUAACUAAAGGUGAAGUAACUUCGCCAGUGAACAAUGGCGGGAAUAUUGUUAAACACAUUCAUGAGUUAGAGAGAGGGGUGUCGGAGUGUCUCAGACAGAUGAGGACCAUGGUGGCACCUCAAAACCUACAAUUACAAGGGAUGAAGACAAUUAGGUUUAUAGUCAUUUCUUGUGUUGUUGCAUCCCUACUUUCAUAUAUAUUUAAGAACUAUGAGUGAUUUGUCUUGUUUGUAGAAGCUGAACCGUAAUGCAUAUGUGACCCAUGUAGACCCAAUUAUUCAUGUUUUGGCUGAACUGAAAUGUUGAACAAAUAUUGAGAUUUUGAUAGAUACAUGGGCAAUGUA
Long non-coding RNA from Nelumbo nucifera (sacred lotus), 1027 nucleotides. RefSeq lists it as uncharacterized. The record is from RefSeq and is a predicted model, not a curated record. Lineage: Eukaryota; Viridiplantae; Streptophyta; Magnoliopsida; Proteales; Nelumbonaceae.